Molecule: long non-coding RNA, 255 nt
Filed under: Manihot esculenta (cassava)
Lineage: Eukaryota; Viridiplantae; Streptophyta; Magnoliopsida; Malpighiales; Euphorbiaceae
Description: long non-coding RNA (MESC_LNC004747)
Source: RNAcentral
UUUAAUAACUUUCCCUUCAAACUCCAUAGUUAAUGUGCCAUCAUGCACAUCAAUCUUAGUCCUAGUAGUACUCAAGAAAGGACGUCCAAGAAGAAUGUCAGAAGUAGUGUUACAACUGUCUUCCUUAGUAUCAAUCAUGUAAAAGUCUGCAGGAAAAACAAGUUCAUCUACUUGCACUAGAAUAUCUUCUAGCACUCCUAUGGGAUGUACCACAGAUCUGUCAGCCAAUUGAAUGACUACUCUUGUGUCUUUCAG